RNAcentral lists this ribosomal RNA (203 nucleotides) under uncultured Glomus. RNAcentral's name for it is "partial 18S ribosomal RNA". It matches the Rfam family "Eukaryotic small subunit ribosomal RNA", at positions 569 to 771 of the family's 1831-position model. The record is from RNAcentral. Lineage: Eukaryota; Fungi; Glomeromycota; Glomeromycetes; Glomerales; Glomeraceae.
AGCAGCCGCGGUAAUUCCAGCUCCAAUAGCGUAUAUUAAAGUUGUUGCAGUUAAAAAAGCUCGUAGUUGAAUUUCGGGAUCAGUACGCCGGUCGUGCCUUCGGUAUGCACUGGUGUCACUGGUUUCUCCCUUCUGAAGAACCAUCAUGCCAUUCAGUUGGUGUGGCGGGGAAUCAGGACUGUUUACUUUAGAAAAAAUUAGAG